AAACUACAAGGGGAGCUAAAGCUCCCCCAGAAGUAGUUGCGUGCUCUUUUUUUAUUAUGGUGACGGGCUUUUGUUUUUGUUGAUCGCCCUAUGUCACAAGUCUUUUUUGCUUGUGACGUCUCCCAAUCGGGAGUCAAGAGCAAACGGAUUGCUUUGGUUGCUGUGUUGUCAUGAUCCAGUGGAUCCAACCAGUUCAGGCUCUGCCUUGAGGGCAGUU
This 217-nucleotide unclassified non-coding RNA is filed under the name Pseudomonas agarici. RNAcentral's name for it is "Pseudomonas sRNA P29". Lineage: Bacteria; Pseudomonadati; Pseudomonadota; Gammaproteobacteria; Pseudomonadales; Pseudomonadaceae. The record is from RNAcentral.